RNAcentral lists this ribosomal RNA (258 nucleotides) under uncultured bacterium. Its description in RNAcentral is "partial 16S ribosomal RNA". It matches the Rfam family "Bacterial small subunit ribosomal RNA", at positions 524 to 776 of the family's 1533-position model. The record is from RNAcentral.
UACGUAGGUGGCAAGCGUUGUCCGGAUUUAUUGGGUUUAAAGGGUGCGUAGGCGGCCCCGUAAGUCAGUGCUGAAAUAUCCCGGCUUAACCGGGAGGGUGGCAUUGAUACUGCGAGGCUUGAGUAAAGUUGAGGUAGGCGGAAUUGACGGUGUAGCGGUGAAAUGCGCAGAUAAUCGGGAAGAAUAUCCGUGGCGGAAGGCGGCUCUCUGGUACGGCGACUGACGCUGAGACGCGAAAAGCGUGGGGGAGCGAACAGG